GGUACCUACAGAAGAAGCACCGGCUAACUAUGUGCCAGCAGCCGCGGUAAUACAUAGGGUGCAAGCGUUGUCCGGAAUUAUUGGGCGUAAAGAGCUCGUAGGUGGUUCGUCACGUCGGAUGUGAAAAUCUGGGGCUUAACCCCAGACCUGCAUUCGAUACGGGCGAGCUAGAGUGUGGUAGGGGAGACUGGAAUUCCUGGUGUAGCGGUGGAAUGCGCAGAUAUCAGGAGGAACACCAAUGGCGAAGGCAGGUCUCUGGGCCAUUACUGACACUGAGGAGCGAAAGCGUGGGGGAGCGAACAGGAUUAGAUACCCUGGUAGUCCACGCCGUAAACGGUGGGCACUAGUUGUGGGGACCUUCCACGGUUUCUGCGACGCAGCUAACGCAUUAAGUGCCCCGCCUGGGGAGUACGAUCGCAAGAUUA
Molecule: ribosomal RNA, 425 nt
Filed under: uncultured Actinomycetes bacterium
Lineage: Bacteria; Bacillati; Actinomycetota; Actinomycetes
Description: bacterial SSU rRNA
Rfam family: Bacterial small subunit ribosomal RNA
Source: RNAcentral